GACGAACGCUGGCGGCGUGCUUAACACAUGCAAGUCGAACGGAAAGGCCCUGCUUUUGUGGGGUGCUCGAGUGGCGAACGGGUGAGUAACACGUGAGUAACCUGCCCUUGACUUUGGGAUAACUUCAGGAAACUGGGGCUAAUACCGGAUAGGAGCUCCUGCUGCAUGGUGGGGGUUGGAAAGUUUCGGCGGUUGGGGAUGGACUCGCGGCUUAUCAGCUUGUUGGUGGGGUAGUGGCUUACCAAGGCUUUGACGGGUAGCCGGCCUGAGAGGGUGACCGGCCACAUUGGGACUGAGAUACGGCCCAGACUCCUACGGGAGGCAGCAGUGGGGAAUAUUGCACAAUGGGCGGGAGCCUGAUGCAGCAACGCCGCGUGCGGGAUGACGGCCUUCGGGUUGUAAACCGCUUUCGCCUGUGACGAAGCGUGAGUGACGGUAAUGGGUAAAGAAGCACCGGCUAACUACGUGCCAGCAGCCGCGGUGAUACGUAGGGUGCGAGCGUUGUCCGGAUUUAUUGGGCGUAAAGGGCUCGUAGGUGGUUGAUCGCGUCGGAAGUGUAAUCUUGGGGCUUAACCCUGAGCGUGCUUUCGAUACGGGUUGACUUGAGGAAGGUAGGGGAGAAUGGAAUUCCUGGUGGAGCGGUGGAAUGCGCAGAUAUCAGGAGGAACACCAGUGGCGAAGGCGGUUCUCUGGGCCUUUCCUGACGCUGAGGAGCGAAAGCGUGGGGAGCGAACAGGCUUAGAUACCCUGGUAGUCCACGCUGUAAACGGUGGGUACUAGGUGUGGGGUCCAUUCCACGGGUUCCGUGCCGUAGCUAACGCUUUAAGUACCCCGCCUGGGGAGUACGGCCGCAAGGCUAAAACUCAAAGGAAUUGACGGGGCCCCGCACAAGCGGCGGAGCAUGCAGAUUAAUUCGAUGCAACGCGUAGAACCUUACCUGGGUUUGACAUGGAUCGGGAGUGCUCAGAGAUGGGUGUGCCUCUUUUGGGGUCGGUUCACAGGUGGUGCAUGGCUGUCGUCAGCUCGUGUCGUGAGAUGUUGGGUUAAGUCCCGCAACGAGCGCAACCCUUGUUCACUGUUGCCAGCACGUUAUGGUGGGGACUCAGUGGAGACCGCCGGGGUCAACUCGGAGGAAGGUGGGGAUGACGUCAAGUCAUCAUGCCCCUUAUGUCCAGGGCUUCACGCAUGCUACAAUGGCUGGUACAGAGAGUGGCGAGCCUGUGAGGGUGAGCGAAUCUCGGAAAGCCGGUCUCAGUUCGGAUUGGGGUCUGCAACUCGACCUCAUGAAGUCGGAGUCGCUAGUAAUCGCAGAUCAGCAACGCUGCGGUGAAUACGUUCCCGGGGCUUGUACACACCGCCCGUCAAGUCAUGAAAGUUGGUAACGCCCGAAGCCGGUGGCCUAACCGUUGUGGGGGAGCCGUCGAAGGUGGGACUGGUGAUUAGG
RNAcentral lists this ribosomal RNA (1444 nucleotides) under uncultured bacterium. RNAcentral describes it as "16S ribosomal RNA". It matches the Rfam family "Bacterial small subunit ribosomal RNA". The record is from RNAcentral.